GUAAGGCAACGGUUUUUGGUACCGUCAUGCGCUGGUUCGAAUCCAGCUACCCCAG
This is a transfer RNA of 55 nucleotides. It matches the Rfam family "tRNA", at positions 18 to 71 of the family's 71-position model. From Rfam's summary of the family: Transfer RNA (tRNA) molecules are approximately 80 nucleotides in length. Their secondary structure includes four short double-helical elements and three loops (D, anti-codon, and T loops). The record is from Rfam.